RNAcentral lists this microRNA (23 nucleotides) under Strongylocentrotus purpuratus (purple sea urchin). RNAcentral describes it as "Spu-Mir-76_5p* (star (passenger))". The record is from RNAcentral. Lineage: Eukaryota; Metazoa; Echinodermata; Echinoidea; Camarodonta; Strongylocentrotidae.
ACGGGUUUCGCUGAUAUCGCACA